Molecule: transfer RNA, 65 nt
Filed under: Bothropolys sp. SP-2004
Lineage: Eukaryota; Metazoa; Arthropoda; Chilopoda; Lithobiomorpha; Ethopolyidae
Description: tRNA-Val
Source: RNAcentral
AGGUUUUUAGUUAAAAAAUAAUGCUUCACUUACACUGAAUAGUUAUCCUUGAAUAAUAUAAUUUG